RNAcentral lists this long non-coding RNA (1003 nucleotides) under Bos grunniens (domestic yak). RNAcentral describes it as "lncRNA (ENSBGRG00000020193.1)". The record is from RNAcentral. Lineage: Eukaryota; Metazoa; Chordata; Mammalia; Artiodactyla; Bovidae.
GAAAAGUGGACAUGAGACCAAAAAAUUAUUAUUUUUGGCUGUCCGCAUCAAAUAAGUAAAAACUUGAGUUUCUGGAAUUCCAAAUGAUUGUCUGGAUGCUGUUCAGUUGUGCUAACUAGACCAGAUUUUUGGGGUCAGUCUCAUUUGGCUUUGUUCAGCUACACAUGGCUUCAGUAUAAAACAGGGCCAAAAUGAAAGAAUACGCUUCCUUAGUCCACAUUUUUUACUUGGUGAAAAAAUGAAGAGCUUCACCCUCAGGGUUACAAUGACAACUUUCUCCACUUUUCUCAGAAGUAGUUGAAAAGUAUCUUGUCAGCAUCAUUGCCUGCUUUAACAGGUGCUGGGAGGGGGACAAGCAACCACAGGUGUAGGGCAUAGAAAAGUCAUCUGAAAAAAUGUCCUUAAAAAGUCCAAGUUUCUCGUCUGUUGUGUCUGUCCUUUGUAGACAAAUCAGUGUGCUAUGAACUGACAACCCAACUGAUAUGCCUCUGGCCUAAACCAACAUCACCAGCCCAAGCUCCUUUCUCUUACAACCUCUCAUACACUUCCAUCCCCUUGAUUCCAGUGCUUCUCAAGCAUUAAUGAGUGUAUGAAUCACCUGAACCUUGUUAAGAGGUAGAUUUUUCAUUCAAUAGGAUUGUGCUGGAGGGCCGCAUUUCUUACCCAUUGGUAGGAGAAGCCAGUGGCUACCGGUCUGCAGAUCACACUUUUGAGUGGUAAGGCUCUAUUUCUUUUAUAAUUGAUAGUUGAGAGGAUGAAGGUAGAUUUUGGAGGAAGAGAAGAGACAAUUGAUUUCUUUCUCCUUUUCCCACACGCUUCACAGUGAAACAAUUGCUUCAUUUCUUUGCCAACCACAAGAAACAAUUUUCAACUGGGACACUGAAGCAGACUCGAAAGUAUUUUGUUUUUCUAUUUUUCUUUUUGGAUGGAAAGUAGGCAAAGGAAGGAGUUACCAUUGUCAUUGAACGUGGUCUUGAAUACCUUAAAGAGGGGCUGCUGCAAC